Molecule: unclassified non-coding RNA, 305 nt
Filed under: plant metagenome
Description: partial contains 5.8S ribosomal RNA, internal transcribed spacer 2, and large subunit ribosomal RNA
Rfam family: 5.8S ribosomal RNA (bases 1-105)
Source: RNAcentral
GAAAUGCGAUAAGUAGUGUGAAUUGCAGAAUUCAGUGAAUCAUCGAAUCUUUGAACGCACAUUGCGCCCUUUGGUAUUCCUUAGGGCAUGCCUGUUCGAGCGUCAUUUGUAACCUCAAGCUCAGCUUGGUGUUGGGUGUCUGUCCCGCCUCCGCGCGCGGACUCACCUCAAAUCCAUUGGCGGCCCCCGCGUCGGCCACGAGCGCAGCAGAAACGCGAACUCGUGAGCCCGUCCGGGCGGCUCCCAGAAGCUACACCCACCCAGUUUGACCUCGGAUCAGGUAGGGAUACCCGCUGAACUUAAGC